GGGCUGGGGCUCAGUGGCAGGGCGCUUGCCUAACACGUGUGAGGCACUGGGUUCGAUUCUCAGCACCUCA
Molecule: transfer RNA, 70 nt
Filed under: Marmota monax (woodchuck)
Lineage: Eukaryota; Metazoa; Chordata; Mammalia; Rodentia; Sciuridae
Description: tRNA.Val
Source: RNAcentral